ACGGGCAGACUAGAGUGCGGUAGGGGAGAUUGGAAUUCCUGGUGUAGCGGUGGAAUGCGCAGAUAUCAGGAGGAACACCGAUGGCGAAGGCAGAUCUCUGGGCCGUAACUGACGCUGAGGAGCGAAAGGGUGGGGAGCAAACAGGCUUAGAUACCCUGGUAGUCCACCCCGUAAACGUUGGGAACUAGAUGUGGGGACCAUUCCACGGUCUCCGUGUCGCAGCUAACGCAUUAAGUUCCCCGCCUGGGGAGUACGGCCGCAAGGCUAAAACUCAAAGGAAUUGACGGGGGCCCGCACAAGCGGCGGAGCAUGCGGAUUAAUUCGAUGCAACGCGAAGAACCUUACCAAGGCUUGACAUAUACGAGAACGGGCCAGAAAUGGUCAACUCUUUGGACACUCGUAUACAGGUGGUGCAUGGUUGUCGUCAGCUCGUGUCGUGAGAUGUUGGGUUAAGUCCCGCAACGAGCGCAACCCUCGUUCUAUGUUGCCAGCACGUAAUGGUGGGAACUCAUGGGAUACUGCCGGGGUCAACUCGGAGGAAGGUGGGGACGACGUCAAAUCAUCAUGCCCCUUAUGUCUUGGGCUUCACGCAUGCUACAAUGG
RNAcentral lists this ribosomal RNA (603 nucleotides) under Microbacteriaceae bacterium ST12.14/204. Its description in RNAcentral is "bacterial SSU rRNA". It matches the Rfam family "Bacterial small subunit ribosomal RNA", at positions 632 to 1233 of the family's 1533-position model. The record is from RNAcentral. Lineage: Bacteria; Bacillati; Actinomycetota; Actinomycetes; Micrococcales; Microbacteriaceae.